RNAcentral lists this long non-coding RNA (251 nucleotides) under Elaeis guineensis (African oil palm). Its description in RNAcentral is "long non-coding RNA (EGUI_LNC033840)". Lineage: Eukaryota; Viridiplantae; Streptophyta; Magnoliopsida; Arecales; Arecaceae. The record is from RNAcentral.
UGUGCUUUUUGUCAGUGUAAAUCUGCAUUGAUCACCAAUUUCUACUACUCCAACAGAGGGACUUGGGACCUCAAAUGAUCUUCUCAUCUAUCCACUGAAGUUCUUGAACAAAAUGGGUCUUUUACCUAACAUUCUUGUUGGUUUUCACUCAAAUUUAGGAGAAAUUAAUGGCCGGCCCAUCUGUUGACCAGGCCUUAACUUUUAAUCCUUGUGAACCAAUUUUAUAACAAUCGAUCCAUAGGUAAAUACCC